UAUAUGGCAGCCUCCUAUUGUUACUUUUGUGGUAUGGUUAUGCCUUCCUAAAAUAUUCUAAAUUCUCAGAUGAGAUACUUUUGUAUACCCCUAAUAUUGUUGCUUUGCAGGUACGUGUUUGUGCUUUCCCUGCCAGUCGAUUAGGAUUGCAAGGAAUUGGGAUCAGUCCAGACUGUAAUCCUGAUGAUAGGGCUACCCCUCGACAGCUUUUCAAUUGGGCACUUGAGCCAGGAGAAGAUGAUGUUCUUGAUCGGCUCUUUGAGCUCGGAUAUCAAGAUGCAGCUGUAUGGGCUAAGGACAACCCGGUUGGCGAAAUAGUUGAAGACGACACUUCCUUGGUUGGUAGUGGCAUAGAUCAGUAGGCUGUCAUUAGAGUCUCUCUUUGACCUUGAAGAUGCAUUAGGUUCUUGGUUACUGUCAAUUACUGAGAAUCCUGUUAUGCCAUUUUCACAUACAGGUCAGACAGACUAGCUUUCCUAUAGCAUAUACAGCCCUUGAUUAUAAAAGGGUGGAACCACAUUCUCUUGAUAUAGUAUUGCAAUUGUAUAGCAAGCUGUAAAAUUUGUUGUAAGACCGUAUGCGGAAUAGGGAAAAGAAAAAAAAAAUAUAAGGUCAUUGAAAAUGCAUUUACCAAUAAUGAUCAAUUCAGAUUAGGUCCAGUUUUAGAGACCUUCUAUCUCCAGACUUGUUCCUUUUGGUUUUAGUUUCGAUUUCAUUAGGCGGUACUCGUACUCUUUAAAAUUCUGUGGCUGGUAUUGGAUUUCUUGAUGGUGUCGUAGAUUUGGGUGUUGUUUAUGAUUGUAAUCUUUCCAAUAGAGAUGAAUAUAAUCUUUGAGGUUAGGUAUCUAACUCACAAGAAAGAAGCUGGAUCUGAGAACAUUUGAUUUGAA
Molecule: non-coding RNA, 890 nt
Organism: Prunus mume (Japanese apricot)
Lineage: Eukaryota; Viridiplantae; Streptophyta; Magnoliopsida; Rosales; Rosaceae
Source: RefSeq, a predicted model, not a curated record